This 323-nucleotide ribosomal RNA is filed under the name uncultured eukaryote. Its description in RNAcentral is "partial 18S ribosomal RNA". It matches the Rfam family "Eukaryotic small subunit ribosomal RNA", at positions 1470 to 1796 of the family's 1831-position model. The record is from RNAcentral.
CCCUUAGAUGUUCUGGGCCGCACGCGUGCUACACUGAACGGUUCAAUGGGUAAGGUAGUGCGAAAGCAUGACCUAAUCUCGAAAUCCGUUCGUGCUGGGGAUAGAAGCUUGCAAUUAUCCUUCUUGAACGAGGAAUACCUUGUAAGCGUGAGUCAUCAUCUCACGCUGAAUACGUCCCUGCCCUUUGUACACACCGCCCGUCGCUCCUACCGAUUGAGUGUUCCGGUGAGGCUUUGGGAGAAUGGCCUCAACAUGAGUUUAUCGUGUUUUGCCGUUUGAACUUAGUCAAACCUGAUCACUGAGAGGAAGGAGAAGUCGUAACA